This 119-nucleotide ribosomal RNA is filed under the name Triticum aestivum (bread wheat). Lineage: Eukaryota; Viridiplantae; Streptophyta; Magnoliopsida; Poales; Poaceae. The record is from RNAcentral. RNAcentral also lists the same sequence under 1 other name.
GGAUGCGAUCAUACCAGCACUAAAGCACCGGAUCCCAUCAGAACUCCGAGGUUAAGCGUGCUUGGGCGAGAGUAGUACUAGGAUGGGUGACCUCCUGGGAAGUCCUCGUGUUGCAUUCC